GCAUCAGUAGCUCAGUAUC
This 19-nucleotide transfer RNA is filed under the name Pseudosphromenus cupanus (spiketail paradisefish). Its description in RNAcentral is "partial tRNA-Thr". Lineage: Eukaryota; Metazoa; Chordata; Actinopteri; Anabantiformes; Osphronemidae. The record is from RNAcentral.